AGAGUUUGAUCCUGGCUCAGAUUGAACGCUGGCGGCAUGCCUUACACAUGCAAGUCGAACGGCAGCACGGGAGCAAUCCUGGUGGCGAGUGGCGAACGGGUGAGUAAUAUAUCGGAACGUGCCCAGUAAUGGGGGAUAGCCCGGCGAAAGCCGGAUUAAUACCGCAUACGACCUACGGGUGAAAGCGGGGGAUCGCAAGACCUCGCGUUAUUGGAGCGGCCGAUAUCAGAUUAGCUUGUUGGCGGGGUAAAAGCCCACCAAGGCGACGAUCUGUAGCUGGUCUGAGAGGACGACCAGCCACACUGGGACUGAGACACGGCCCAGACUCCUACGGGAGGCAGCAGUGGGGAAUUUUUGGACAAUGGGCGCAAGCCUGAUCCAGCCAUGCCGCGUGCAGGAUGAAGGCCUUCGGGUUGUAAACUGCUUUUGUACGGAACGAAAAGACUCUGGUUAAUACCUGGGGUCCAUGACGGUACCGUAAGAAUAAGCACCGGCUAACUACGUGCCAGCAGCCGCGGUAAUA
RNAcentral lists this ribosomal RNA (523 nucleotides) under uncultured bacterium. RNAcentral's name for it is "bacterial SSU rRNA". It matches the Rfam family "Bacterial small subunit ribosomal RNA", at positions 8 to 525 of the family's 1533-position model. The record is from RNAcentral.